GUCUGGCCACUGCGGAAUCACCGUAGCCCACCGGCAGCGCCGAGUCAGCCAUCUCGCUGCUCGGCCGCCUCAUCCCACUGUCGCCGCUGCACAGCCGCCUCCCACCCGAAAACACUCCAAACCAGCCCGGAACCACCCCGAAACGUCCCGCAAGACACGUUCUCAACAUAAAAGUUAAUUGGGGGAGAUGGAAGGUGAAGGAGUUGGAAACAUGGAGGGUCUCCAAUUGAGAAGAAACGGCCGAGAGGGAGGAAAGAAGAAGAAGAAGAAGAAGAAGAAGAAGAAGAAAGACUUGGGCUUGUUCCCACAUUUUGGAAUUAAAAUUGGGCUUCCAAACUUGAAUUUGUUUUGGGCUUGUUUAAUUGCAAGCCCAAGUUUGUAAAAUUCUUUAUUUGUAGACUUUUUAUUUGUUAGGGCCAAAAGCCCUUUUUACUUAUAAGAAUAUUGGACUUAAUUUAGGAUCCCAA
Molecule: long non-coding RNA, 467 nt
Organism: Salvia splendens (bonfire salvia)
Lineage: Eukaryota; Viridiplantae; Streptophyta; Magnoliopsida; Lamiales; Lamiaceae
Exons: 2
Source: RefSeq, a predicted model, not a curated record